AGCUUUGUGCAGUGGCAACAUCGUAGCCAAUAAGCUUUAUUGGAGGGGCGAUUAUUGCUGAUUGAAAGAGAUACUGAGAUCCUGGCUCCUCAAAAUAUUGUUCCUGGACCAACAG
RNAcentral lists this small nuclear RNA (115 nucleotides) under Vicugna pacos (alpaca). RNAcentral's name for it is "U4 spliceosomal RNA (ENSVPAG00000017272.1)". The record is from RNAcentral. Lineage: Eukaryota; Metazoa; Chordata; Mammalia; Artiodactyla; Camelidae.